GACGAACGCUGGCGGCGUGCUUAACACAUGCAAGUCGAACGGAAAGGCCCUGCUUUUGUGGGGUGCUCGAGUUGCGAACGGGUGAGUAACACGUGAGUAACCUGCCCUUGACUUUGGGAUAACUUCAGGAAACUUGGGCUAAUACCGGAUAGGAGCUCCUGCUGCAUGGUGGGGGUUGGAAAGUUUCGGCGGUUGGGGAUGGACUCGCGGCUUAUCAGCUUGUUGGUGGGGUAGUGGCUUACCAAGGCUUUGACGGGUAGCCGGCCUGAGAGGGUGACCGGCCACAUUGGGACGGAGAUACGGCCCAGACUCCUACGGGAGGCAGCAGUGGGGAAGAGUGCACAAUGGGCGGAAGCCUGAUGCAGCAACGCAGCGUGCGGGAUGACGGCCUUCGGGUUGUAAACCGCUUUCGCCUGUGACGAAGCGUGAGUGACGGUAAUGGGUAAAGAAGCACCGGCUAACUACGUG
Molecule: ribosomal RNA, 468 nt
Filed under: uncultured bacterium
Lineage: Bacteria
Description: partial 16S ribosomal RNA
Rfam family: Bacterial small subunit ribosomal RNA
Source: RNAcentral